GCGGAAUUAGCUCAGUUGG
RNAcentral lists this unclassified non-coding RNA (19 nucleotides) under Chlamydomonas reinhardtii. Its description in RNAcentral is "small RNA Cre_1744". The record is from RNAcentral. Lineage: Eukaryota; Viridiplantae; Chlorophyta; Chlorophyceae; Chlamydomonadales; Chlamydomonadaceae.